GGCAGCAUGGCGCAGCUGAUGCAGCAACGCCGCGUGAGCGAUGAAGGCCUUCGGGUCGUAAAGCUCUGUCCUAAGGGAAGAACAUUGACGGUACCUUAGGAGGAAGCCCCGGCUAACUACGUGCCACCACCCCCGGUAAUACGUAGGGGGCUA
Molecule: ribosomal RNA, 153 nt
Filed under: uncultured Tepidibacter sp.
Lineage: Bacteria; Bacillati; Bacillota; Clostridia; Peptostreptococcales; Peptostreptococcaceae
Description: partial 16S ribosomal RNA
Rfam family: Bacterial small subunit ribosomal RNA
Source: RNAcentral